UACGAAGGACCCGAGCGUUAUCCGGAUUUAUUGGGUUUAAAGGGUGCGUAGGCGGAUUUACAAGUCAGUGGUGAAAUCUCCCAGCUUAACUGGGAAACUGCCAUUGAAACUGUUUAUCUUGAGUACAUUUGAGGCGGGCGGAAUGUGUCAUGUAGAGGUGAAAUUCUUAGAUAUGACACAGAACACCAAUUGCGAAGGCAGCUCGCUAAACUGUAACUGGCGCUGAGGCACGAAAGCGUGGGGAUCAAACAGG
RNAcentral lists this ribosomal RNA (253 nucleotides) under uncultured bacterium. RNAcentral's name for it is "partial 16S ribosomal RNA". It matches the Rfam family "Bacterial small subunit ribosomal RNA", at positions 524 to 776 of the family's 1533-position model. The record is from RNAcentral.